This 465-nucleotide ribosomal RNA is filed under the name uncultured bacterium. RNAcentral's name for it is "partial 16S ribosomal RNA". It matches the Rfam family "Bacterial small subunit ribosomal RNA", at positions 338 to 795 of the family's 1533-position model. The record is from RNAcentral.
CCUACGGGGGGCAGCAGUGGGGAAUAUUGCACAAUGGGGGAAACCCUGAUGCAGCGACGCCGCGUGAGUGAAGAAGGAAUUCGUUAUGUAAAGCUCUAUCAGCAGGGAAGAACGGUCACUGUGCUAAUCAGCAGUGAAUUGACGGUACCUGCAAAGGAAGCACCGGCUAACUCCGGGCCAGCAGCCGCGUUAAUACGGAGGGGGCGAGCGUUAAUCGGAAUUACGGGGCGAAAAGCGCUCGUAGGCGGGAUGUCAAGUCAAGGGUGAAAUCCCCGCGCUCAACGUGGGAACUGCCUUUGAAACGGGCAAACUGGAGUGUGUGAGAGGAGAGUGGAAUUCUAGGUGUAGGAGUGAACUCCGUAGAUAUCUGGAGGAACAUCAGUGGCGAAGGCGACUAGCUGGAACAUAACUGACGCUGAGGAGCGAAAGCGUGGGUAGCAAACAGGAUUAGAUACCCGAGUAGUC